Long non-coding RNA from Mastomys coucha (southern multimammate mouse), 348 nucleotides. RefSeq lists it as uncharacterized. NCBI's taxonomy places the organism in Eukaryota, Metazoa, Chordata, Mammalia, Rodentia, Muridae. The record is from RefSeq and is a predicted model, not a curated record. The transcript has 2 exons.
GCUUAUCUGUAGAUACGAAGUUCCCAGGGCUUGAGACAAGGAUAUGUACAUUUACAGAAAGAAUCGAAGGACCUUUGCACUUUGGAAUACAAUAAUUUCAUUACACAAAAGGAAUAGAGAUUCUGAUCCGGGAACUAUCUGCUGCAAGGAUGCUCAGCAGGUUAGAGCCUUUCGGCCAAACGCUCACAGGUGCCUACAUCAUGGUUCUGCUUUCCCACUUUCUGGACCAGCUUCCUAUCCUCUUCAGCAUUCCCUGUAACUCACACGAAAAGACGGGAGUCAGUGAUCGGCACUUUGUGAAUUGGCCUUCUUUGCUUGAAGGUUUUGUAAAACAGCCUUUUCUUUGCC